AGCUUGGUGAACUUAAACUAGGUGAGACCUGCCCGGUGUGAUUAUUAACGGCCGCGGGAUUUAACCGUGCUAAGGUAGCAAAAUAAUUUGUCUUUUAAAUGGAGUCGAGUAUGAAUGGUUUAAUGGGGGUUAGCUGUCUCUUUUUGGUUAAUUUGAAAUUACUUUAGAGGUGAAAAAGCCUUUAUUAUAUUAUAGGAAGAGAAGACCCUUUGAAUUUUUAUAAGUUAGGGUUAACCCUAAAAAUUUUGGUUGGGGCGACCAGGGAACAUAUAAACUUCUCUAAAAGGUUUACAUGAAAAUAUUGUUUUGUCUGAAUAAAUUACCAUAGGGAUAACAGCAUUAUUCUUUUAGAGAUUGUGACCUCGAUGUUGGAUUAGGGGAUUAGUUGGUUAGAAGCCUACUAUUUUGGUUCUGUUCGAACUUUUGAACCCUACAU
Molecule: ribosomal RNA, 436 nt
Filed under: Rhodope marcusi
Lineage: Eukaryota; Metazoa; Mollusca; Gastropoda; Rhodopidae
Description: partial 16S ribosomal RNA
Rfam family: Bacterial large subunit ribosomal RNA
Source: RNAcentral